GCCAGACUCCUACGGGAGGCAGCAGUGGGGAAUAUUGGGCAAUGGGCGCAAGCCUGACCCAGCAACGCCGCGUGAAGGAAGAAGGCUUUCGGGUUGUAAACUUCUUUUCUCAGGGACGAAGAAAGUGACGGUACCUGAGGAAUAAGCCACGGCUAACUACGUGCCAGCAGCCGCGGUAAUACGUAGGUGGCAAGCGUUAUCCGGAUUUACUGGGUGUAAAGGGCGUGUAGGCGGAGCUGCAAGUCAGAAGUGAAAUCUCCGGGCUCAACCCGGAAACUGCUUUUGAAGCUGUAGCCCUUGAGUAUCGGAGAGGCAGGCGGAAUUCCUAGUGUAGCGGUGAAAUGCGUAGAUAUUAGGAGGAACACCAGUGGCGAAGGCGGCCUGCUGGACGACAACUGACGCUGAGGCGCGAAAGCGUGGGGAGCAAACAGGAUUAGAUACCCGCGUAC
Molecule: ribosomal RNA, 449 nt
Filed under: uncultured bacterium
Lineage: Bacteria
Description: bacterial SSU rRNA
Rfam family: Bacterial small subunit ribosomal RNA
Source: RNAcentral